GCUAUUGCACUUUAAAGUGUCAAAACAGCUCCUCUCGAUUUUGAAAACAUGUUUCCACGUGGAAGGGAGUAGUUGUGAUGGUCAACAUUAACCCACAUACAUUGAUUUAGUGAACAAAAACACUCGUACAGCUGUAGAGUACAUUUUGAACAGCCAUCUCCAGGAUAUACUCUGAAGACAGUGAUGUGCAAGUUCAAGGUUUGCUUGUUCAGAUACUUUAAUAAUAAAGAAUGGGUGAAAAAAUUCUCACAUUAUCAUGCUGCAUAAUAGUACAUUUCAGCUGUAACAAAACAAAUCAUCUGAUGAAAUCUUCAACCACGAGAAUCUAGGAAAGGAUGUCAAGUCCAAAGAGACGGCCAUAUAACAAAUGGUUGCUGAAUUCAUGAAGACUAGCUGGGUUGAUACAGUACUUUUCUACUCAUAUGAACCAUAUCUAAACAUCAUUUGAGGAUCCCUUUCUCAGAAAAAAAGAAUUUGCAUAUUCAAAGACUCUGUAGUUUAUUGUUUAUUUGU
Saccostrea cuccullata (small rock oyster) is the source of this 513-nucleotide long non-coding RNA. RefSeq lists it as uncharacterized. The record is from RefSeq and is a predicted model, not a curated record. The transcript is spliced from 6 exons. NCBI's taxonomy places the organism in Eukaryota, Metazoa, Mollusca, Bivalvia, Ostreida, Ostreidae.